AUGACGUGUGCUGUGGCCCCUCUGUCUGGCCCUCAACAAUGUCGAGCACCUUCCCCUCGUAAACUUCAUCUUUUAACCAGGUCCCCAGACAGUCAAAACCACCGAGGGGAUUUGACCACACGGACGGGCGCAUUAUACUUCGGUAUUUCCAUUUUCCUGGCUGCAGAAGUUCAUUCCGACUUUGAAAAUUUGUAAUUCUUUAAGACGGAAAUCGAAUUUAGCGGGCAACUAUGCAAAAGCUAACUCCAGCGACGUGGUAAGCUGCAUGAUUUCAUAACUCUGCUUUGUUACGCUCAAAGUUAAGACGUCGGGGCCUGCUCUACAAUGGAGUUGAGUUACUGUUAGCUCCAAGCAAAGUACACGAUUUAGCCCGGCAGAUCGACUUCAAGUGCAGUUUCAUGGAGCUGCAUAGCAAAGUUGCCAGUUUUAGGGCAAAUAUUUGUUCACUGCACAAUACUUUUCAUUUAAAAUGCGAGAGGAAUCCUCGAAUUGGCAUCGCACCGUACAAAUAAUGGAGAAUCAUUGUUGAUUGGUGACUUGGAAGCAAACCUGUUACGAAAGCUCCGUCGAGGAGCAUUGAUUGGGUCGCUGAAUUAAAAUGCGUGAAAUUUAACACCCAAGUUUCGGAACUCAAUCAAGGCCUGGAGAGACUACCUACCUAUCCAACUAACCGUGGGUGAAAUAGACUGAGUGUAAGUUUUUGAAACUAGGAAUCAGCGUAGCGGUGUCUGCCAUUCUGAAGCCACUAAUCACGAACAUCGGAUUCCUUCGACGGAUAGUCAUAUGUAAAUGAUAAAUAACUUAUGAUAAUCCUAUUUUUUGAAAACAGCAGUUGCACAGUUGGUCCAAACUAAAUGAUAAGAUCAAAAUUUUGUUUGUCAAAACUGAGCCACUGAUACGAGAUGAUUCCGUUUUUUGGUAGAGAUGAAAAUUGUACCCUACGAGUUCCAUUUCUCAAUUUUCGUUUUAUUUCCGGUGCAGACGCACCCUAAACUGAGUUUUCAAAAUCAAAAUCAAACCUUUUAUUAGAAUUUGUCCAACGAGAUUUGACCAAACUC
RNAcentral lists this long non-coding RNA (1058 nucleotides) under Bemisia tabaci. RNAcentral's name for it is "lncRNA ENSSSA1UGG011177". The record is from RNAcentral. Lineage: Eukaryota; Metazoa; Arthropoda; Insecta; Hemiptera; Aleyrodidae.